This 36-nucleotide transfer RNA is filed under the name Brassica oleracea var. capitata (cabbage). RNAcentral describes it as "tRNA-Arg". The record is from RNAcentral. Lineage: Eukaryota; Viridiplantae; Streptophyta; Magnoliopsida; Brassicales; Brassicaceae.
GCCCAAGCCUGGCUGAGGAAGAGUUACGGGGCUUCG